This 73-nucleotide transfer RNA is filed under the name Trichuris muris. Its description in RNAcentral is "snRNA TMUE_0100000704". It matches the Rfam family "tRNA". From Rfam's summary of the family: Transfer RNA (tRNA) molecules are approximately 80 nucleotides in length. Their secondary structure includes four short double-helical elements and three loops (D, anti-codon, and T loops). Further hydrogen bonds mediate the characteristic L-shaped molecular structure. tRNAs have two regions of fundamental functional importance: the anti-codon, which is responsible for specific mRNA codon recognition, and the 3' end, to which the tRNAs corresponding amino acid is attached (by aminoacyl-tRNA synthetases). tRNAs cope with the degeneracy of the genetic code in two manners: having more than one tRNA (with a specific anti-codon) for a particular amino acid; and 'wobble' base-pairing, i.e. permitting non-standard base-pairing at the 3rd anti-codon position. Lineage: Eukaryota; Metazoa; Nematoda; Enoplea; Trichinellida; Trichuridae. The record is from RNAcentral.
GCUUAGAUAGUUCAGUAGGGAGAGCGUUAGACUGAAGAUCUAAAUGUCGCUGGUUCGAUCGCGGCUUGCGGCA